CACAGCAACACCGGAUCUGAGUCACAUCUGUGACCUAUUCUGCAGCUUGUGGCAACACUGGAUCCUUAACCAACUGAGUAAGGCCAGGGAUUGAACCUGCAUCCUCAAAGAGUCAAUGUGAGGUCUUUAACCCACCUAGCCUUAGCCACAACAGGAACUCCCUCAGUGGAGAUUUAUAGCAUGCUGAUAUCUGAGAAAUAUAAAAAGCCUUUCCAUUGCCUAUUAAAAAGUAUUUUUAUUUGUUGAAUAGUUCUGAAACUGCAAUAUGAUCAGGUCUGUUUCAAAUAGUUGAGAAAAAGUUGGGGAUCUAUCACGAUGAUAUGCAGAUUCUGUUCUGAGUCAGUAUUAUUUCACUAUGGAUUAUGCUCUUAUCCUAAAAGAUGAAAAUGUCAAAACAAAUGAAAAUAUAUAUUUAAAAAAAACCAAGAACUAUGAAUCUUUGUUAAACAAGUACCAUAUGAAGUUAGAGUUCCUUUGCUUCCUGCUAUUAGAAGCUGAAGUGACGACUGGAUAAGAAAAGACUACUGUAGUUUGCAAUCUUAUCCUUUUGUCCAGUUUCUCUACUAAAGGUACCCUGGUUCAGCAGCAAGCUAAAUCUAAUGAGAAUCCCAAAGAUAACUAGAUAUAAUAGGUCUCACCGCUAAAUUCCUUUCCCCCUAUGAAAACAGAACUCAGGAUACUGGAGCUCCUUGACCUAAUACUAAAAUGAGUAAGCUAAAAUAAUGUGUCUUGAAAAUUCAUUUUGUUUUUAAAACAGUUUUAGUUUCCCACUACACUCUAGAAUGUGGGGUGGGGCUAAACUUUAAAGUAUGUCUUCAUGAUCCAGAUAUUGCUUCAUAAGGAAGGGGGGAAUGAAGCUCCAUAUUCAGAAUAUGGACUUCUACUAAUGACCAUUUUGGUGGUGCAUCCUUUGGAAUGUCCAUCCCUGCCUGCCAUCACGGUGAAGGCAAUUGUGAUUACUGUAAUAACCUCACAAGAAGACUUUUUCUCAUACCUUGAAAAAAAUCUCAGACAUGGCACCGAACUGAAAAACAUAAAAAAACUUUUUCACACUUUCAGGCCUAUUAGUAUAGUUGUUAUUGAUAAUGAUUUCUAUGAUUUUGAAUCAGACUGAAUUUAUACCAUGCAUGGGAUAUAUGCAAAGCUGAAGACACUGACUUCUCUGUGAAAGUGCUGAAUUCAUGGUUCAUACAAAGAAUGCAGUAAUAAAAUACUUAAGAGAUAUUAAAUUCUGUCAGAUCUGGGUGAGAAUAUCUGUGAAGCUAUUAACACCUACAUAAUCUCAGACAGGCUGUUUUAAUCUUUCUGAGCUGCUUAAACUCUUUUGUUACAUGGCCAGAUUUAUAUUAUUAAAAGAUCAUUAUAGCAGUUGUGAAGAAUGGACCAAAGAGAUCUAGGCAGAAGCUAAGAAAACAAGGUUUCUAAAAAUAUUUUUAUCUGCAAUAAUUGUAGGGGUACAGAAAAGUUGCAAAGAUAGUAAAGAGAGUUCCUUGUGUAUCAUUCAAUCAGGCUUCCCUAGAGUUAACAGCUCACAUACCAAUGAUGCAUUUGUCAAAACUAAAAAAGCUAAUGUGGGUAUAACACCCUUAGCUAGACUACAGUAUUUAUUUAGAUUUCAACAGAUUUUUUUGCUAAUUUUCUUCUGGGUUUUUUUUUCUGUUCUAGAAUACAAUUCAGGAUAUCCUACUGUAUUUAAUACUACUGCUUUUACCUUCCUAAUUUUAUUUUUUCCAUAUUCCAACCUAAAGAUAUUGGUGGCCUGGACUAAAGCUUAUAGCAGUGAAGAUGGAAGGAAACAGAUCUGAUAUAUAUGCUGAAGUUAUAAACAAGGGGGGGGUGAUUAUUAAUAGAUACAAGUCAUGAAGCAAAGGAAAAAAACAAGGAUGACUUACACCUUCUGGCUUAAAGAACUUAGUGGAUGGUGGUGAAUUUAUGGAGACAGGAUGACUGAGGGGAGGAUGGAAUUGAAAAUAUGUUUAGAAGGAAAGCUAUGAGUUUCAUGUUAGAUUUGUUAAAAUGUAUUAGCAAUAACAUAUAUAAAACAUUUAAUUCAAUGGCUGCCACACAGUGUGUGCUCAUUAAAUGAUGGCCACUAUGCAAUUAUCAUCAUAAUCAUUAUCAUCAAUAUUAUCAUCAGGAAGGAAUUUCAAUAUUGCUUCAGGCUGCAAAGAAACUUUCUAUGAUGAUGCCAGUGAGAGAGGCUUUCCUGUUUGGUUCCACAUUUUCUCUAUAGAGUGGUUUCAAUGGGAGUGUAAGCUGAAAAUGCCAGGCCUUGUUUAGGGCUACAGACGGAUGUGCACAUAAUAUUCCCAUUCUUCUCUAACCUGAAUUGGGGUCCUAACUAGGGACCCUAUAGUAUAAGAGGCUCCACUCUAAAAUGCCAAGCUGAGAGGGUAUACACAACUUGAACAAAGGCACACCGGCAUAAAAGGGCACAGAAUGUUAAGAAAAUGGAAGAGAUUUGGUGAGUUGAAGGGAAUGGUUAAAGAUGAGCCUAGUAAGGCAAAAUGGGGCCAUCUAUCAUGAGAAGGGUAUUUUAAAUGCAUAGUAAAAAGUCUGGAAUUUUCCCCAGUGGAGGGGAGAGUAUAUAAUGUAGUAAUAUGAAGAUUCUUCCCAGUGGGAAAACUACGUGAAUGUAAUAAUGGAAUUCUAAUGUUAAAAAUCCUUAUAAGCAACAUGAUCUCCUAUGUUUAGUCCAUCUCUAACCACAGCAACUUUUUAGAAUAGUAAGUAUGGGUAUUUUGUGGAUAAGAAUGAAUUUAGCAAAAAGAGUCACUUUUGGUUUAGAUAGAAAUAGUAGAUUCCUAUGCUAGGAAAGGCCCAGGGCUGCUGUAAAGGUUCAAUUAUGAUGUACCUUACCUCUGUCCAUCUUAAGCCAUUCUCUUCAAGUCAGAGAGUGCUAAGUUAAGACAAAUGAGCCAAAAAUGAGGGACUGCCCUUGAUCUCCUCUGCUGGAUGUUAAAAUAUUUUAGAGCCUGAAAUAAAUUUUAUCCAAAGCAAGUAACUGAAGGAAAUUCUGGCUGAGCGAAAAAUUUAGCCAUCUUCAGGGUCAGAACCAACUCUAUCUCAUCAUAACACUAUAGGAUACUUACUCUGUGCUAUACAUAGCCAAAUGACCCAGACUUUACAGAUUAGCUGAUUUUAUAAGUAUCGGCAUGUAGUCUACCCUCUAUACCAACGAAAAGCUAUUCUGAUUGGUACUAUAUGUUAUGUUUAAUCUUGUGGUAGGUUUAUUUCACAUGUGCUUCAAACAUCAGUGAGGGACAAAAGAGUGGUUUCAAUGUGUUACUAGAUGUGAAAACAGGAAAUUAGCUCUAUACAUUCUAAAAUAUUAAAAAUUAAGAGUUAUUCCACAAUUCAUUAAAUGGCAAGUGGGUACAAGUCAAUUGGUUGAAGAAAAUCAAACAAAUGAGCAGAUUUCUUCAUAACUGUGAAUAAUCUUUCAUACUCUAUUCAUAUUUUCCCACUGCUGGCAUUGCUGGGAAUUAGUCACAUUAUCUAGAGUUAUUUCAUUAUGUUGACCUAUGUCCUGAGAGUCAGAUUCUUCAGAGUGAAUAGUACAGAAAGUACUAGAGGUGACUUCACUUACACUUCUACUUAUGUUCUUAUAUUUAUUCUUGUCUAUGAAGCCUUAACUAUAUCUUUUAUUAGAUGCACUUAUAUUUUAUUCUUUGAGCAUAUAUGCAUGCUAAGCAGUAGAGAAUAAUAAAGAAGGUUGAAAGCAUUAACCAACAAAGGAAUGUUAUUUAGAAAAUGAAUGUUUUCAUUUAUAGUUAGCAUGGUAGAAUCUAGGCCAUGAAUCCUAUUAGUAGAUUUAUUCCUUUAACUGCAGCCCCGAGGAUAGAUAAAAUGCCAAUAAAGACUGACUUCACAUACGUAUAUAAAUGAUGAGUGUGAAUGCUUCUUCCUCAUCCACAAUGUUAUUUAAUCUUGCUGGUGUUACUUGAAAUAAUGGUCUCAACUUUCCGCUUUGCUUUUCCAAUGCAGACACUGUCACCAUAGUGCUGAGUGAAGAAACGACUGUUUUCAGAAUUUAAGUUUUGUUAGACUAUAAAGAGAAGAUGAUCCUUCAAAAAUAUCACAGAAAUAAAGCACCAGGUUCAUCUCACCAUAUCAAGGGUAUAAACAAUCAACAUGAUUUAUGCCGAAUGAUGUUCACCUGGCUGAAGUACUGUCAUGAAAUCUGCUCUAAAGCACUACAAGACUCCCCUCAUCCAGGCUCAUCUUGUAUAUUCCCUGCCACAAGCAUUUCCACAAGAAACUCUGUUUCCUUUUAAUGGUAAAUGGUAUUAGAAACCAAGAUCUGAGUUCUAGUCGAGAUGUUGCUACUGGGAUGUCUUUUCUUUAAGGUCCUCUCAACUGAUAGAGAAAAUAAAUUUAUCUUUGUACAUUAAUGUAUAGACACAUGCCUAUGAAUAUUUCAGCAUAUAACUAUCAAGUAACUCAAUUAAACACGGGUUUUAACUGAUGACUCUUAACUCAUUACCUCAUGGAAAAUCCUAGUGUCUUUCUCCUCACUAAUUUGUAAAUACCCACACCAAUGGUGAUAAACCUGGCUCCCAUUAUUCAGCAUCAAAUUACUUACUGAAUUCUAGAAUCAUGUAUAGAAGUAUCAGAUUGAUAACCUGUACCUCUGUGGGGAAAAACAACCAGAGUACUGUGCUUAUGUGCUGGUCUUUUUACUUUUAAUCUUACAGACUCCAUACAUUUCCAAAGUUACCUAGGUCAGAUACUUCUACCCUAGGAGGAGUGUCUCACCCAUUCCAGUGAGGUUGUUUCCAAAGUUUGUAAUGCAACUAGAUUCCCUUGUUACAAUGUUCACUCUUUCCGAGGACCUCUUUACUUCCCAAAUUACUAUUUAAAAUUUGUAUAUUUAUGUUUCACUCUGUGCUAUAAAAUUCCAUGGGUUUUGACAAAUGCAUAAUGUAUCUACUGUUGUGGGUUUAAUUGUGUGACACUCCCAAUGUUUGAGUUCUAACCCCACUGUACCUCAAAAUAUGACCCUUUUGAGACAGUCUUUACAGAGAUAAUAUAUAAAAUAAGGUCAUUGAGGUGAGCCCUAAUCCAAUAGAACUAGUAUCCUUAUAAAAUCAAUGAAUUUGGAUACAGAGACACACAAGGAGAUGCAAUGUUAAGAUGAGGCAGAAAUCAGGGUGAUAUAUCCACAAACCAAAAAAUGCAAUCUUUUCCAACAAACCAUUAGAAGCUAGGAGACAGGCAUGGAACAGAUUCUCUCUCACAGCACUCAGAAUAAGUCUGGAGUUCUAGCCUCCAGAAACGUUGUUCUAAGGCACCCAGUUUUUGCUAACUUGUUAGGCAGGUCUAGGAAUCUAAUACAUCCACCAAUAGUUUCACUGCCUAAAAAAUGCCUUGUGUUUCACCUAUCCAUCACUCAGUCCUUCCCAUCUAGUCCUUGGCAAUAACUCAUUUUAAUGUUUCUAUUGUUUUGCCUGUGAAAUGUAAUUUUUAAAUAGCACUUUGGAUAAUCAUGGUAUAAUAAUAAUAAGUAAAAAAGGAAAGAGAAAGAGAGAAGAAAAGCACUUGGCUUUCAACUGUUACAUUCAGGUAUUUGUUGAAAGUUUUAGGAAUAAUUACAUGUGAGAACUAAGUAGUAUGAAAAGACCUGUCAGAACAAAGAAUACUCCCAUUUUUUAAAAGCUACAUAUGGAGUAAGGUAAAUAACAGUUGUUGCUGGCAAAUAGUAAAAACUUAAGGACAAAAUAUUAUGUCAGUUAUAAAAACUUACUAACUACUGAGGUCAAAUUAAACAGAGUAAUCAUUCUAUCGGAGUUAUGAUAAAUUAACUGGAUUAAUGAAAUUCAUAGUAACUUAAAAUAUCUGUUACUGCCUUUUGCUAUAUCAGCAGGGGGCAUAUGAUUAGAUUUCAGUUUAUUAACAAAGUAUAAAAUGUGAAAAGCCUAAAAAAAAUUAAGUUCAUAUUUAGGUAUGAACUUGUGCUCAGCAAAAGAUGUCAAAAUUUAUCAAUAACUUCUCUUAAAAUAUACAUAGAAAUGAAAAAAGAAUACAGAUUAUAUCCUUUCAAUGGCCAGAGAUAACUUUACAAUGAUUACUAACUAAAUGUUCAAUUCUUUACUCCCUUUUUCAUCUAAAAUUCACUGCUUCCCAGAGAAGCACGCAUUAAAGAUUAGGCAUCAAUUGAUUACUUUCUAGAGGUGAACCCUGUCUCUAGUUUCUUCUGGAAUAAACUGACUCAAAAAGAAAAAAGAGGGAACUAUGCUUUGGGUUUAGUAAUUCCAACCAACUCAUCUGGUUUUGACACACGAUUACUUUGUUAAGAGGUGAACAUAUUAUUUUGCUAUCACAUUGAAUUUUUGCAACUACAAUUGGGAAUUUACUAUAUUACACAACAAUUAAUAGUGUAUGUGUGUAUACAGUGGAAAAAUAAAUAAAUAAAUAAAUAAAUAAAUAAUAGUGUGUGUGUGUGAAAGAGAGAAAGCAAAGGAGAUAUCUAUCUCUUCUGUUACAAAGUGGCUUUUGAAAAAGGAGGAGGAAGCGGGAUGGAUUGGGAAUGUGGGAUUAAUAGAUGCAGACUAUU
This is a non-coding RNA of Sus scrofa (pig), 6556 nucleotides long. The record is from RefSeq and is a predicted model, not a curated record. Lineage: Eukaryota; Metazoa; Chordata; Mammalia; Artiodactyla; Suidae.